ACCACUGCGCCACCAGGGAAGCCCGAAAAUAAUGUUUUAUUCAGUAAAGCAUGUUACUGAAUAGUUAAGUAAUAGUUAAGUAUUAUUAGAAAAAUCAGUUAAACAGUUGGUAAAAAAUUAAGUUAGCUCUCAUUCUUUGCCAUAUACAAAAGUAAAUAACAGAUUAAAUGUAAAGAAGGAAAUCUGAGCCAGGAUUAAAUAAUCUGAAGUUGUGAAAAGAUUUUCCACACAAGAUUCCAAAAGUUGAAAUCAUGAUGAAAAAGAUUCAUCAACUUGGAUAAAUGAAAAUGACUUACCUUGUCAAUAAACAUCACAGAAAUUGAAAAAAGAAAAGAAUGCAGAAACUUUUUGCAUCUUAUAGAAAACUUUAAAUAUUAAUACGAAAGAAUGAACCGCCCCAAAGACAAGGAGUCAAUAUUCAAAGAAAGAAAGGCAAAGGAAAAAAUGGGCAACAUCCUAAUAAACAAAGAAAGCAAACUAAAACAGCAGUUUGUUUGACUGCCUUAUCAUUAUACAUCUAAAGAAAAUAAAAAUGAUAUUUUCUUUCUAAGGUGAAGAAGCACCAAAAUGCUAUGGAUUUUUUGCCUGCUGAAUUGGUAUUGGUUAAGAAGACUCAUACCACUGUUGGGGAGAAUGUGGGAAAGUGGGCCCUCCCAAGCACUGUUGGAGAGAGAAAUUUGUGUGAUCAUUACAGGAAGUAAUCUGCAUAAAACUUGAAAUAUGCACAUCCUUUAAAUAAAACAAAUCCACACCUGUCUGUAUUAGUUAAAUGUUCGGAAUAUGUGAUUUUCUAAUAAAAAAUAAAGAAGAAAAGAUUUUCAGGCAAACCCCAGCAAUGGAAACUUGGGGAAGUAAAUUAUUAUCUCUGAUCUUUGGUGUUCUCACCUAGAAAAACUCUUGUGAUGACUUUGAGCCACCUCAAUCAUCCAGCAUGACCCCCGCCAACCCAAGAUCUUCAUCACAUCUGCAAAGUCUCUUUUGCCAUUGAUAUUACAGAGGCCGCAAUGUGGUAAUCAAAGCACAUCAGCCACCGGAAGUCAAAACUGCUCGCCAGGACACAAGGAGAAAGGCAGGAGGAAAGCGCACAGCAGGUGGAAGGGCUUCUGAGGAAGGCUUCCAUGGCGGAGAGGAGGUGGGGGGGCUCGCUGGCCGAGAGCUUUUGUAGUGCACCGUUCCCACAGGCCAAGCCAGAAGAAAAGCCUGCCAUGAAAGCUCCCAUUGGCUGAGAACAUGGCACAACAGAGCCCCAGAAGAAUCAUACAGUAAUCGUACUCAACAAAUCACGCACUAAGGAUGGCAUUAAAUGGUGUCUGUGUGUAUGUAUGUAGUGCAUUCAGCAGGUAGUUCUCGAACUUGGAUAAAAAAGGAAACAACAGCAUGUCACAGCCAUAGGACACUGGCCCUGCAGCUCACUCCACUAACUCCCCUACAUUUCAUUCCAAGCUCACAAAACAGCUUCUUUUUAUUAUCUGGCUUCUAAUGGGCAUUUCUCCCUGACCAGUGAACACACUUAACGAUUCACUUUCUUCCCACUAACCUAUUAAGCCAGCAUUAUAUGUCUUAUGCAUCAGGCCUUUGGUUAUCAUGGGUCCUUCUCUAAAAGACUGGCCUGGGUAUAUUAGCAGAUGAACUCUGCAACCAGCAAAGAUGAUAGCCACAUGCCUCAAUGUGGUGAUCACACCAAGGUUCUAAUCCCCAUGAAGCCCUGUCUCAGCAACCUCAGGCCUUCCUGGAUAACACUGUUAUGCUGAUGUGUUCUGAUCCCAAACCAGCAUUAUCCUAAGCUCUUUACAGUUGCAUCCAUCAGGAUAGGCUAGGUUAUGCUGCAGCAAGACUGUCCCCAGAUUCCGGUGGCUUAAAACACCAGUGGUUUAUUUCUUUUUUUUUUUUUUUUUUUUGCGUUAUGCGGGCCUCUCACUGUUGUGGCCUCUCCCAUUGCGAAGCACAAGCUCCGGAUGCACAGGCUCAGUGGCCAUGGAUCACGGGCCCAGCCGCUCCGCGGCAUGUGGGAUCUUCCCGGACCGGGGCACGAACCCGUGUCCCCUGCAUCGGCAGGCGGACUCUCAACCACUGCGCCACCAGGGAAGCCCGGUUUAUUUCUUAUCCAUGGACAUGACCAAGGUGAGUCAGCCAGGGGCUCUGCUCCACAUCACCUUCAGUCUAGGACCUAGGCUGAGGGGCAGCCCCAGUGCAGCUUAUGGGAUCUUAGUUCCCCGACCAGGGAUUGAACCCAAGGCCACAGCAGCUUGAAAGCUCCAAGUCCUAACCACUGAACCGCCAGGGAAAUCCCAUGGAACUCUGACUGUCCUGGAGGAGAGGAAAAGGGACAAAAAAGAAGUGAGGCACCCGCUAACUCUGAAAGCUCCCAGCCAAACAAGGCACAAGGCCACAUCUAAUUUCAUGUGACCAGGGAACUGCAAUCCUCCAUGUUCCCAGAAGGAGAGACAGUCAGACUCUUUAUUAGCAGAAUAAUAACCACCAUAUGCUUGGUGCUGAUGACCUCUUAGAGCAAUCAGUUCCCAACUUGAACUAGUUUAAAGGUUUUUCUUGCAAUGAGCCAAAAUCUGUCUGUGCUAGGCAGCAACAAGUCAAUCAAAGUCCCUGCCCUCCUAAGAUUUAUACUGUAGUCGUUCCAUCCAUUAGUCCCUGUUAGGUUAAAAUAACUUUACUCCCUCACUUUCUUAUCCAUUCAGCAAGCAUUUACUAAGUACCUACUUACCUGCCAGGUACUGUGCUCUAUUUAGGAGCUUUAGGGCUGAAGACGUCAUGAUCUUUCUGGAGCCCACGUUGUAGGGGGUUAGCUAGCCAUCGAAGAGGACCAGGUGCCAGAUCCUCCUUAAUAACACAGAACUAGGCGACCACAAUAUUUCAUUUCAAACACUCAAAGGGGGAAUAUGCCACAUUCUGGAGAGAAGCCUUCUAGGGAUUCUCUAACUGUGUUCUGGGGUGCCGUAAGCGGUUCCAAGAGGGUGCUUCAGAUAUUACCUUGGGAAUGAACAGGCUGCCA
This is a long non-coding RNA of Physeter macrocephalus (sperm whale), 3007 nucleotides long. RefSeq lists it as uncharacterized. The record is from RefSeq and is a predicted model, not a curated record. The transcript is spliced from 4 exons. NCBI's taxonomy places the organism in Eukaryota, Metazoa, Chordata, Mammalia, Artiodactyla, Physeteridae.